GCCUUUAGAGUUUGGAUAUGGCUCAGAACGAACGCUGGCGGCAUGCCUAACACAUGCAAGUCGAACGAGACCUUCGGGGUUUAGUGGCGCACGGGUGCGUAACGCGUGGGAAUCUGCCCUUUGGUUCGGAAUAACACUUGGAAAUGGCUGCUAAUACCGGAUGAUGUCGAAAGUCCAAAGAUUUAUCGCCUUUGGAGGAGCCCGCGUAGGAUUAACUAGUUGGUGGGGUAAAGGCCUACCAAGGCGACGAUCCUUAGCUGGUCUUAGAGGAUGAUCAGCCACACUGGGACUGAGACACGGCCCAGACUCCUACGGGAGGCAGCGGUGGGGAAUAUUGGACAAUGGGCGAAAGCCCGAUCCAGCAAUGCCGCGUGAGUGAUGAAGGCCCUUUGGUUGUAAAGCUCUUUUACCGGGGAAGAUAAUGACUGUACCCGGAGAAUAAGCCCCGGCUAACUCCGUGCCAGCAGCCGCGGUAAU
Molecule: ribosomal RNA, 477 nt
Filed under: uncultured Sphingomonas sp.
Lineage: Bacteria; Pseudomonadati; Pseudomonadota; Alphaproteobacteria; Sphingomonadales; Sphingomonadaceae
Description: bacterial SSU rRNA
Rfam family: Bacterial small subunit ribosomal RNA
Source: RNAcentral